GGUUAAGUUAGAAAGGGCGCACGGUGGAUGCCUUGGCACUAGGAGCCGAUGAAGGACGGGACGAACACCGAUAUGCUUCGGGGAGCUGUAAGCAAGCUUUGAUCCGGAGAUUUCCGAAUGGGGAAACCCACCACUCGUAAUGGAGUGGUAUCCAUAUCUGAAUUCAUAGGAUAUGAGAAGGCAGACCCGGGGAACUGAAACAUCUAAGUACCCGGAGGAAGAGAAAGCAAAUGCGAUUCCCUGAGUAGCGGCGAGCGAAACGGGAUUAGCCCAAACCAAGAGGCUUGCCUCUUGGGGUUGUAGGACACUCUGUACGGAGUUACAAAAGAACGAGGUAGAUGAAGAGGUCUGGAAAGGCCCGCCAUAGGAGGUAACAGCCCUGUAGUCAAAACUUCGUUCUCUCCUGAGUGGAUCCUGAGUACGGCGGAACACGUGAAAUUCCGUCGGAAUCCGGGAGGACCAUCUCCCAAGGCUAAAUACUCCCUAGUGACCGAUAGUGAACCAGUACCGUGAGGGAAAGGUGAAAAGCACCCCGGAAGGGGAGUGAAAGAGAUCCUGAAACCGUGUGCCUACAAGUAGUCAGAGCCCGUUAACGGGUGAUGGCGUGCCUUUUGUAGAAUGAACCGGCGAGUUACGAUCCCGUGCAAGGUUAAGCAGAAGAUGCGGAGCCGCAGCGAAAGCGAGUCUGAAUAGGGCGCAUGAGUACGUGGUCGUAGACCCGAAACCAGGUGAUCUACCCAUGUCCAGGGUGAAGUUCAGGUAACACUGAAUGGAGGCCCGAACCCACGCACGUUGAAAAGUGCGGGGAUGAGGUGUGGGUAGGGGUGAAAUGCCAAUCGAACCUGGAGAUAGCUGGUUCUCUCCGAAAUAGCUUUAGGGCUAGCCUCAAGGUAAGAGUCUUGGAGGUAGAGCACUGAUUGGACUAGGGGCCCCUACCGGGUUACCGAAUUCAGUCAAACUCCGAAUGCCAAUGACUUAUCCUUGGGAGUCAGACUGCGAGUGAUAAGAUCCGUAGUCGAAAGGGAAACAGCCCAGACCGCCAGCUAAGGUCCCAAAGUAUACGUUAAGUGGAAAAGGAUGUGGAGUUGCUUAGACAACCAGGAUGUUGGCUUAGAAGCAGCCACCAUUUAAAGAGUGCGUAAUAGCUCACUGGUCGAGUGACUCUGCGCCGAAAAUGUACCGGGGCUAAACGUAUCACCGAAGCUGCGGACUGUUCUUCGAACAGUGGUAGGAGAGCGUUCUAAGGGCUGUGAAGCCAGACCGGAAGGACUGGUGGAGCGCUUAGAAGUGAGAAUGCCGGUAUGAGUAGCGAAAGAGGGGUGAGAAUCCCCUCCACCGAAUGCCUAAGGUUUCCUGAGGAAGGCUCGUCCGCUCAGGGUUAGUCGGGACCUAAGCCGAGGCCGAAAGGCGUAGGCGAUGGACAACAGGUUGAUAUUCCUGUACCACCUCCUCACCAUUUGAGNNNNNNNNNNNNNNNNNNAAGGCUGAGCUGUGAUGGCGAGCGAAAUAUAGUAGCGAAGUUCCUGAUUCCACACUGCCAAGAAAAGCCUCUAGCGAGGUGAGAGGUGCCCGUACCGCAAACCGACACAGGUAGGCGAGGAGAGAAUCCUAAGGUGAUCGAGAGAACUCUCGUUAAGGAACUCGGCAAAAUGACCCCGUAACUUCGGGAGAAGGGGUGCUCUGUUAGGGUGCAAGCCCGAGAGAGCCGCAGUGAAUAGGCCCAGGCGACUGUUUAGCAAAAACACAGGUCUCUGCGAAGCCGUAAGGCGAAGUAUAGGGGCUGACGCCUGCCCGGUGCUGGAAGGUUAAGAGGAGCGCUUAGCGUAAGCGAAGGUGCGAAUUGAAGCCCCAGUAAACGGCGGCCGUAACUAUAACGGUCCUAAGGUAGCGAAAUUCCUUGUCGGGUAAGUUCCGACCCGCACGAAAGGCGCAACGAUCUGGGCACUGUCUCAACGAGAGACUCGGUGAAAUUAUAGUACCUGUGAAGAUGCAGGUUACCCGCGACAGGACGGAAAGACCCCGUGGAGCUUUACUGCAGCCUGAUAUUGAAUGUUGGUACAGCUUGUACAGGAUAGGUAGGAGCCUUGGAAACCGGAGCGCCAGCUUCGGUGGAGGCAUCGGUGGGAUACUACCCUGGCUGUAUUGACCUUCUAACCCGCCGCCCUUAUCGGGCGGGGAGACAGUGUCAGGUGGGCAGUUUGACUGGGGCGGUCGCCUCCUAAAAGGUAACGGAGGCGCCCAAAGGUUCCCUCAGAAUGGUUGGAAAUCAUUCGCAGAGUGUAAAGGCACAAGGGAGCUUGACUGCGAGACCUACAAGUCGAGCAGGGACGAAAGUCGGGCUUAGUGAUCCGGUGGUUCCGCAUGGAAGGGCCAUCGCUCAACGGAUAAAAGCUACCCCGGGGAUAACAGGCUUAUCUCCCCCAAGAGUCCACAUCGACGGGGAGGUUUGGCACCUCGAUGUCGGCUCAUCGCAUCCUGGGGCUGUAGUCGGUCCCAAGGGUUGGGCUGUUCGCCCAUUAAAGCGGUACGCGAGCUGGGUUCAGAACGUCGUGAGACAGUUCGGUCCCUAUCCGUCGCGGGCGCAGGAAAUUUGAGAGGAGCUGUCCUUAGUACGAGAGGACCGGGAUGGACGCACCGCUGGUGUACCAGUUGUUCUGCCAAGGGCAUCGCUGGGUAGCUAUGUGCGGACGGGAUAAGUGCUGAAAGCAUCUAAGCAUGAAGCCCCCCUCAAGAUGAGAUUUCCCAUUCCGCAAGGAAGUAAGAUCCCUGAAAGAUGAUCAGGUUGAUAGGUCUGAGGUGGAAGUGUGGCGACACAUGGAGCUGACAGAUACUAAUCGAUCGAGGACUUAACCAC
Molecule: ribosomal RNA, 2854 nt
Filed under: Bacillus inaquosorum
Lineage: Bacteria; Bacillati; Bacillota; Bacilli; Caryophanales; Bacillaceae
Description: 23S ribosomal RNA
Rfam family: Bacterial large subunit ribosomal RNA
Source: RNAcentral